RNAcentral lists this ribosomal RNA (497 nucleotides) under uncultured bacterium. RNAcentral describes it as "partial 16S ribosomal RNA". It matches the Rfam family "Bacterial small subunit ribosomal RNA", at positions 28 to 507 of the family's 1533-position model. The record is from RNAcentral.
GAUGAACGCUGGCGGCGUGCCUAAUACAUGCAAGUCGAGCGAACAGACGAGGAGCUUGCUUUUCUGACGUUAGCGGCGGACGGGUGAGUAACACGUGGAUAACCUACCUAUAAGACUGGGAUAACUUCGGGAAACCGGAGCUAAUACCGGAUAAUAUUUUGAACCGCAUGGUUCAAUAGUGAAAGACGGUCUUGCUGUCACUUAUAGAUGGAUCCGCGCUGCAUUAGCUAGUUGGUAAGGUAACGGCUUACCAAGGCAACGAUGCAUAGCCGACCUGAGAGGGGGAUCGGCCACCCUGGAACUGAGACACGGUCCAGACUCCUACGGGAGGCAGCAGUAGGGAAUCUUCCGCAAAGGGCGAAAGCCUGACGGAGCAACGCCGCGUGAGUGAUGAAGGUCUUCGGAUCGUAAAACUCUGUUAUUAGGGAAGAACAUAUGUGUAAGUAACUGUGCACAUCUUGACGGUACCUAAUCAGAAAGCCACGGCUAACUACGUG